GUUAUUUAUUAGAAAAAUAUAACGAUACUUAUUUAUUACGCAUAUUAUAAUACUUUAUAUAAUUUUACGAUAUCUCUAUUCUAUCGUUUCAAAGAUCUGUUAAUUAACGAUAAAAAAAAUAUCUUCUUUAUAUCUUAAGAGAAGAUAUGUAAGUCCAUUAUGUAGUUUGCUUAAGAAGGUCAGUAGAGAUUUUCUUAUCUGAUGGGAUAAUUGAGGCAGAUUUAUCUACGCACAUGUUCAAGUACGAUGGAGGGAGUUUGCUGGCACAUGGUGCACACAGUCUAAUUUAGGGAACUAAUCGUACAACAUACAUCAUACACAACCUAUAUCACGUAUGAAACGUUAAAAACUGUACGAAUUAUUAUGAUUACACUUCCCUUCAUAUUUAGUGAUAUUAACCUUCAUACAAACAACCUCUUCAAGGAAAAACAAAAUUCUUUUUCGAAAAUGGCACUUCCAAUUCUUCUUAUUCUCACUAUUUAAUUGCUAGCCGUAUCAAGUAACAACGAAAAAAAUAAUAAUAUCUAAACGUUAAGCAGGUCCAUAUUUUUGGGGAUACAAUUAAAAAAGUAAAUCGUCGGUGGAAUAUUGUUUCACCUAUCAAGAAUUUUGGAAGAUAUAAUUAGAAAGGUACAACCUGGGUAGAAAAUUGUACUCCUUAUCGAGCAUUUUUGAAAAUAUAAUUGAGAAAGUGGAAUCUGGAUAGAAAAUUGUUUUACCUACGAAGCAUUAUAAAAAUUGACAGAGCAAGGAAAAUGAGCGACGAACCUACCUACAAACUAAUCUACUUCAAUGCCCGUGGUAGUGCCGAACAUAUACGGUACAUAUUUGCAUAUAUUGGCAUCGAGUAUACCGACGAGAGGAUCCCCCUACAACUCUGGCCUGAAUACAAGGAUUGUAAGCGUGAAGAAUCGAUUUUUACUUUCAUCGUUCAACUCUCAGAUAUCUACCAUUUACUCAAACUUUUCUGUAUAUAAAACUUUCGUUUCACGUGCAGGCUAAACUUACUUAAAGUAAAAUUUCAUACGGAAUAAAGUCGAACUUUUCAUUAAGUUUUGCUUCCGUAAUAUCGUGUUUAUCGAAUACCAACUUAAUUCACUUACGAUUCUCGAAUUUUUGUGUUGCUAUCUUUAUUGUUUUCAAUGAAUCGAAGCAUUUCGAAUAUUUUGAGAAAACCGUAAAUAGGUGACUUAAAAUAGGAAUACAAAAAUACUUCUACGUUUCUCGUUAAAUUAAAAACUUUUUAGGACUUGUCGGAAAAAAAGGAUAAAAAAUUGAAAUCAGUUCGGAAAUGAACAAGAACAUAGCUAAAAAGUCGAAAGAACAAAGCAGACAUAAAAUUCGAUCUUCUGUUGCGACAUUUCUAUCGUAAAUGGUAUAAUAAAAGUUUUACGCAGCAUAGUCUUCGAUAUAAUCUUAUAUGUCGCUUGCAAAUGGAGAAACAAAAAAUCAACGUAAGUCUGUAAAUCAAUCCUGUCGGUGUAAAACACAAAAUUACGUUCGCAAGAGACAUUCGAUUUAUAUUCCUUGCAUUUCAAUUUUCAUUACAAGAACCGUGUACAUUUUCUAAUAUUUUUUCCGUGUUUGGUAUUAUCUUUUAUCCUUGAUUUUAAAAACUUUAGGUUCUUCCCAACAGUCAAAAACACGCGAUACCCUGUCCAUCGUAAUCGUAAGAAAAGAAAAAAAGGAGAAAGAAGACAUUUCUGUAUUUCUUUACUAGGCCAUGUUGAUUAAAACCGAAAUGAUUUCGAUUCAUCUAUUCACAAGAACGCAACGGCCUCGGAAGCUGUGUUGUGAUUUCCUAUCGAUCGUUUCCCUCUACACAGUGUUCAUAUGAGCCAUGUUUGUUCUUAGCAAUGCCUUAUAAAAAGCUGCCUGUGCUGGAGGUAGACGGGAAACCGGUAGCGCAGGCUGACGCUGUGGCGCGAUACUUGGCGAGGAAGUACGAUCUAAUGGGAAGGAACGAAAGGGAUGCGUUGAUAUGCGACGUGCUCGUCGAUACUCUUGAAGAUUUGGAGCAAGGUGAGUAACUGAUGAGAUGACUUUGCAUUUGUCUCACCACAGAGACAGACGUUCAAGAAUUCAUUGUGAAAAGACGGGUACAAACAAGAUACGUAUGUCUUUCCGUUAAGCGAAUGUUACAGUUUGUUUGCAAAAGUCAGUUUUUAGAUUAUAGAAUCGUAGAUAGAAUUUAGAGGAUAGAAACUUUUAGUAGUCACUUUUAGUUUAGUAAAGUCUUAUCGACAAUAAGCAGACUACGUUAUGAUACAACGAUUCCAAAUGAAGAUUUCUAUCGACAUCACGAAUUCGAUGGCUUCCAAAUUUUCUUCUCUGCAAUCUCAGACGCUCAACUGGAAAGAAUCUUUUAGAUCCCCCGACAAACACUCGACUCAGGUUAUCUAUUAUCGUAAUCUUCCUACGGGAUUUUUUUUAACUGCGUUGCGUUAACGAAUAACGGGAUAACAUCACGUUUCUCUCAACGCCUUUCAACGUUCUACAACUUUUAUUCUUUGCAAAUCCCUGUCUCUAUAUGAUAAACGCUGGUUAUCCGCGGGAGGAGCGAGGACAACGAAGUGUUACUCAAUGAUCAAAGACAGGAAGAUCCUGGUACGCGAUAACGUUACUAAUUUCCAAUUACGAUAUGUGUGAUUACGUAACAUCUGCUAUCUGCAUAAUGCGUUAACGAUCCGCGCGUUGAUCGCAUAAAUAUAAAUCGAAGGGAAUGGAAUCGCUCGAAACUCAUGCAACUAUCCGCAGGUGUUUAAAAUCGUGUUUUUACACCGCCAACGUAACGUCACGCCAGUCGAAUCGAAAAAUUAU
Bombus huntii is the source of this 2820-nucleotide long non-coding RNA. RefSeq lists it as uncharacterized. The transcript is spliced from 2 exons. The record is from RefSeq and is a predicted model, not a curated record. Lineage: Eukaryota; Metazoa; Arthropoda; Insecta; Hymenoptera; Apidae.